Capsella rubella is the source of this 403-nucleotide long non-coding RNA. RefSeq lists it as uncharacterized. The transcript is spliced from 3 exons. NCBI's taxonomy places the organism in Eukaryota, Viridiplantae, Streptophyta, Magnoliopsida, Brassicales, Brassicaceae. The record is from RefSeq and is a predicted model, not a curated record.
GCUGCGGUCGCCGUCGAUUGUCCGAGCGGUCCGGUUAAGUAUGUUAUUAAAUUGCAGGCAAUACCAAACAAGAGAUCUUUUCACCUAUAAUGAACCAGGCUGAUCUCCAGCCACCGGUGGAGGAUUUUACGGCGGGUCUUCCACGGUGGUCGACGGAAUCACUCACGUGAUCUAUUAGAAGCGCAACUUCUUCUUCAGGUAGAAAAACCUUAUCAGCUUUGCUUUGGAAAACGAGCAAAAGAAUAGAACCUUAUCAGCUCUAUCGUUGCGCCGAGCAGUAGGAGACAUAAAAUACUUAUCAGCUUUGAUAUUUUUGUUGACUGUUACUUUGUCUUUCAUGUGUAAGAUUAAACCAAAAAAAUUCAGACUAUUUAAGACUAAUAUAUUGUGGUGAUUCUCGAUU